GGCUAAUAUCUUUCAUCAAUGACGGUACCUGAAGAAGAAGCACCGGCUAACUACGUGCCAGCAGCCGCGGUAAUACGUAGGGUGCGAGCGUUAAUCGGAAUUACUGGGCGUAAAGCGUGCGCAGGCGGUUUGGUAAGUCAGAUGUGAAAUCCCCGGGCUUAACCUGGGAACUGCAUUUGAGACUGCAAGACUAGAGUGCGGCAGAGGGGGGUGGAAUUUCACGUGUAGCAGUGAAAUGCGUAGAGAUGUGGAGGAACACCGAUGGCGAAGGCAGCCCCCUGGGUCGACACCGACGCUCAUGCACGAAAGCGUGGGUAGCAAACAGGAUUAGAUACCCUGGUAGUCC
Molecule: ribosomal RNA, 346 nt
Filed under: uncultured bacterium
Lineage: Bacteria
Description: bacterial SSU rRNA
Rfam family: Bacterial small subunit ribosomal RNA
Source: RNAcentral